GCAGAGCGACAUCCUGCUUUUUUAUUCUUAUUUUAUACUAUUAUUUAUAUAGGUACUGAAAUAUAUACCACUGUGACAGACGACAGUAGCACUAUCCUUACAAAACAUAAACUUUUGGUUACAUUGUAUAUUCAUAUUAUAACCUCCGUGCAUGACGCUUAAAAUAAAUAAAACCAAAUCGUUUCUUUCAUAAAAUAUUGUUUUCGUAGAAUAGUUUGGUUGAUGCAUAGACUAUUCAGCAUAGUUCCCAGCCUGCGUUACCUUUGCCGCGAUGGCGUGCUCGAUGAAGACGUAACAAAAAAUAGUAUGUCCUGUGCUCGUGAGGAAAGGCGAUUUCAGUCUUGGGUGAAAUACGGCCCUUGACUGCGGCUCGUGCCGCACACGUCGCCCUCGACUGAAAUAGCUCACUUCCCGCCCUUGCCACACAAUAUGUCGUAAAUAUAUUUUCGGAUAUUUUGUGGGUCACCAAAACAAUAAAGUCGGUCAGUGGCAUUGAACUUUAUAAUAACUGGAACGCUCACCGCCCAUAUGACUAGUGUAAAUAAAACCGAGCGAGUGUGUUAGAAAGAGAUAGCGAAUACUUUAGGUAUUUCUAUCAUUCUAUCUCUGUCUCUUUAUUGAUAAUACGUCGUACCGUAUUCAUUUUAAAUGUUCACCGGCAUAAAUAUUGUGAAUAUUGUGAUCGACGUCCGUCAAUUUCAGCUUUUUGCUCUUUCUGCUUGAAUUGACGUGUUUGUUAAUAUUUUAUAUUCUAGUCUACAGGUACAAUUAGAAAAUGGUGAAUUUUUGUAGUGCAUUUAACUGGAACAGUUCAAGUGAUGUUAAAAAUGAAUUAAUAUUUCACAAGUUUCCACUUAAUGAUAGUGAGAGAUUAAAAAAAUGGAUACAUGCUGUCAGACGGACCAAUUUCUAACCAAACGGUAGUUCAUUUUUAUGUAGUCUAAAUUUCAAUGAGAAUGACUAUAAUAAACCUGUUGAAAGUGGGAAGUUGGUUUUGAAAAAAUGUGUUGUGCCAACUAUCUUCGAUUUCCCUGAUCAUUUAAUGCCAAAGGUGAAAGAAAGACGAAUUCUGCAGCGAUCGGUGGAAAUUCAAGAAAUACAUCAGAAGAAUAUACAAAUCCUUCCAGGCAGUGUGGAACAUAGAAUACAAUUUUGGGGAGGUUUUGUAUCAUAUAUACCAGUGACAAAACUAGAGGGGCCUGUGACUCCCUGACUACAUUUUUAUAUAUGAGCCUAAAUUAUUUUCCAACAUGCAUAGGGUGACCAUACGUCCCGUAUAAUCCCGUUUUUUUCUUUAUUGUUAAUUUAUAAUUUUUUUUUAUUCUACGAUAUUUUUAGUAUCACAGUAUUCAAUAGAACAUAUUUUAAAUCUAUACUCGUGCCGCCGGUAGAACGCUACUCGCUC
This is a long non-coding RNA of Acyrthosiphon pisum (pea aphid), 1405 nucleotides long. RefSeq lists it as uncharacterized. The record is from RefSeq and is a predicted model, not a curated record. NCBI's taxonomy places the organism in Eukaryota, Metazoa, Arthropoda, Insecta, Hemiptera, Aphididae. The transcript is spliced from 3 exons.